RNAcentral lists this transfer RNA (34 nucleotides) under Phelipanche sp. A26. Its description in RNAcentral is "partial tRNA-Phe". Lineage: Eukaryota; Viridiplantae; Streptophyta; Magnoliopsida; Lamiales; Orobanchaceae. The record is from RNAcentral.
GUCGGGAUAGCUGCAGAUAGAGCAGAGGACUGAA